AAAAAAAAAAAAAAAAAAAGCGGAAGAGAUCUCAUGGAGACAAAAUUCUAGGUGUCUAUGGAUCAAACAUGAUGAAAGAAAUAUAAAGUUUUUUUCACAAACAGGCCAAUGCACACAAGAUAUAUAAUUGUAUUGACUAAAUAAUAAUUGAUGAGGAACUGGUGGAUGAUGAGAAGGUCAUAACGGAUCACAUCCAAGGCUUUUAUGACUAAUUAUUCAGGGAAACAGAAGAAUGGAG
Molecule: long non-coding RNA, 238 nt
Filed under: Solanum tuberosum (potato)
Lineage: Eukaryota; Viridiplantae; Streptophyta; Magnoliopsida; Solanales; Solanaceae
Description: long non-coding RNA (STUB_LNC011939)
Source: RNAcentral